GACGAACGCUGGUGGCGUGCUUAACACAUGCAAGUCGAACGGAAAGGCCCUGCUUUUGUGGGGUGCUCGAGUGGCGAACGGGUGAGUAACACGUGAGUAACCUGCCCUUGACUUUGGGAUAACUUCAGGAAACUGGGGCUAAUACCGGAUAGGAGCUCCUGCUGCAUGGGGGGGGUUGGAAAGUUUCGGCGGUUGGGGAUGGACUCGCGGCUUAUCAGCUUGUUGGUGGGGUAGUGGCUUACCAAGGCUUUGACGGGUAGCCGGCCUGAGAGGGUGACCGGCCACAUUGGGACUGAGAUACGGCCCAGACUCCUACGGGAGGCAGCAGUGGGGAAUAUUGCACAAUGGGCGGGAGCCUGAUGCAACAACGCCGCGUGCGGGAUGACGGCCUUCGGGUUGUAAACCGCUUUCGCCUGUGACGAAGCGUGAGUGACGGUAAUGGGUAAAGAAGCACCGGCUAACUACGUG
RNAcentral lists this ribosomal RNA (468 nucleotides) under uncultured bacterium. Its description in RNAcentral is "partial 16S ribosomal RNA". It matches the Rfam family "Bacterial small subunit ribosomal RNA", at positions 28 to 507 of the family's 1533-position model. The record is from RNAcentral.